This 502-nucleotide ribosomal RNA is filed under the name uncultured bacterium. Its description in RNAcentral is "bacterial SSU rRNA". It matches the Rfam family "Bacterial small subunit ribosomal RNA", at positions 19 to 507 of the family's 1533-position model. The record is from RNAcentral.
AUGGCUCAGGAUGAACGCUAGCUACAGGCUUAACACAUGCAAGUCGAGGGAAACGACAUCAAAAGCUUGCUUUUGAUGGGCGUCGACCGGCGCACGGGUGAGUAACGCGUAUCCAACCUGCCCACCACUUGGGGAUAACCUUGCGAAAGUAAGACUAAUACCCAAUGAUAUCUCUAGAAGACAUCUGAAAGAGAUUUAAAGAUUUUAUCGGUAGAGGAUGGGGAUGCGACUGAUUAGGUAGACGGCGGGGUAACGGCCCACCGUGCCGACGAUCAGUAGGGGUUCUGAGAGGAAGGUCCCCCACAUUGGAACUGAGACACGGUCCAAACUCCUACGGGAGGCAGCAGUGAGGAAUAUUGGUCAAUGGACGCAAGUCUGAACCAGCCAAGUAGCGUGCAGGAUGACGGCCCUAUGGGUUGUAAACUGCUUUUAUGCGGGGAUAAAGUGUGGGACGUGUCCCAUAUUGUAGGUACCGCAUGAAUAAGGACCGGCUAAUUCCGUG